GACGAACGCUGGCGGCGUGCUUAACACAUGCAAGUCGAACGGUAAGGCCCUUCGGGGUACACAAGUGGCGAACGGGUGAGUAACACGUGGGUGAUCUGCCCUGCACUUCGGGAUAAGCCUGGGAAACUGGGUCUAAUACCGGAUAGGACCCUGGGAUGCAUGUCCUGGGGUGGAAAGCUUUUGUGGUGUGGGAUGGGCCCGCGGCCUAUCAGCUUGUUGGUGGGGUGAUGGCCUACCAAGGCGACGACGGGUAGCCGGCCUGAGAGGGUGACCGGCCACACUGGGACUGAGAUACGGCCCAGACUCCUACGGGAGGCAGCAGUGGGGAAUAUUGCACAAUGGGCGCAAGCCUGAUGCAGCGACGCCGCGUGAGGGAUGACGGCCUUCGGGUUGUAAACCUCUUUCAGCACCGACGAAGCGCAAGUGACGGUAGGUGCAGAAGAAGGACCGGCCAACUACGUGCCAGCCGCCGCGGUAA
This 478-nucleotide ribosomal RNA is filed under the name uncultured bacterium. RNAcentral describes it as "partial 16S ribosomal RNA". It matches the Rfam family "Bacterial small subunit ribosomal RNA", at positions 28 to 523 of the family's 1533-position model. The record is from RNAcentral.